Molecule: unclassified non-coding RNA, 1855 nt
Filed under: Portunus trituberculatus (swimming crab)
Lineage: Eukaryota; Metazoa; Arthropoda; Malacostraca; Decapoda; Portunidae
Description: uncharacterized LOC123517808, transcript variant X18
Source: RNAcentral
AGGCCCAUCCUCCUCCUUUGUUGUAAUUAUUUAUUAAUUCAGCAAUAAAUGUAUCAAUCAAUCAAUCAAUCAGGUGUGAGUUACGUGAUGGCACGCACAGGAACUCGUCCUUACACGCAUAAAACACAAUUCACUUGCUUCUUCACUCGUCCUUUGCACGUUUUAAGGAAAAAGUUUGUUUUAAAAUUUGUGGAGGUGCCACGCCUGUUAGCGACUCGCUCCUGACACUGGUAGGGGUGGUGGUGGUGGUGGUGUUGGUGUACGGUAAUUUAAGCCAGCAACGUUUUGUCCCCGGUUAUUUAUCACCGAGAAUGGUCACACGGUGGAAAGCUCUGAGUGAACUAUAGUUUCGGUGUAUGUUAUAAACGGCGCGAGAACCGAGUCGAAUCCUCUUGAUUUUUGUGUAUCCCCGAUCCAAAGGCUACACUAAGAGUGCUCAUCAGUUCUGAUUUCAAAAGUAAACAUACAAUAUCAACACUCAGAAGGAGAGAGUUCUGUGCAGAAGUCCAACCAGCUUCACCGCAUCUAGCCUGCCUAUCGCACCUUUGGGACCAUGGAUCCUGACGUUGUAGCAUAUGUGAUGCUGGACUAUUUGAACAGGAAGCAGCAGGAGAAGAGGAGGAGGCGUGUAUGGAGCCGUGAUUGGUUGAAGAAAAGGAGAGAAGAGAGUGUAGCCUUCAGACUUGUGAGGGAGCUUGAGGCUGAAGACCCAGACACACUAAAAGACAGUGGACACGUCUUGACCAACACCAAUUUCAGGAACUGUUAGCCCAGCUUAGUCACCCCACUUAUAAAGAAGGAAGAUACCAAUAUGCGACAGGCAUUUACUCCUUAUGAACGCCUCCUUCUGACUCUACGUCAUCUAGCAACUCGUAUGUAUGUAAGGUUUGGCGGGGGGGAGACGAGAACGAAGCAAGGUCAGUAGCUCAGAUGGCAGUGAGAGCAGUAUUACUUCAGACACCACGCCCGCUACAUCUCUUCAGUCUCCGCACCACCACCGAGCCCUCCAGUCUAUGCAGCCCAGUGGCCGUGUGUGUCUUGGCGUCGGGCGUGACGUACUGCAACGGCGGUAAUAGCAACGGGAAGCUUGAUCCGUGUGACGGAGGUCUUUCGUGCGACGGGGUGACGUGUCGCUGCUGUGAGAUUAGUGGACCACCCCACCCCACCCCACCCCACCGCACAACACAGCACAGCACAGCACAGCACAGCGGAGAGGUUCAGGCGUGUAAAUGGCAAGAGUAGAUGAAAGAAAAAAGGAGGACGAAGAAGAAGAAAGGAAAAAUAGGAAAAAUUAAAGUGGAAGAGGAGGAAGAGCCAAAACACAAUAUUCAGGAGCCACCAUUGAGACAGGGAAUCCAGCGCCAGUGUAGGAAGCGGAACACAGCUGGCCGGACUCCAGGAAGCUCAGAGCCGGAGGGAGGCAGAUGAGCUGGAGAAGAAUCUGGCGGAUGACUCUGGUCUGCUGAAGGAGCUGCUGGACCAUUUGUCUGAGGCAGAGAAGGACAACCUGCUGCUGCUUCAGUACUCUGCAGAGGAUACUUCAAAGAUCAAGAGUUACAAAGGCCAUGACUGCAGUGAUCCCGUGUGUCCUGCACCAUCAGGGAAGGACUCCGGCUUCGCACGGCGCAUUCACUGACCCUCUCCUCUCCCCAUCACCCUACCAACUCCGGCGACCCACCCCCCCUGCCACCUGCUACACCACUACCACUACCGCCGGCUCCUUCCAGUGAAAGAUUCCUCGCAGACUUCCUGCCAUUCAACGCCUGCUGUCACCACCACCGCCACCACCACCUCCUUAUGGUGGUGUCACUGUACCUGGAAUUGUCAUGAUUGAAUAAUAAAUUGUGAAGAAAUC